Molecule: ribosomal RNA, 253 nt
Filed under: uncultured bacterium
Lineage: Bacteria
Description: partial 16S ribosomal RNA
Rfam family: Bacterial small subunit ribosomal RNA
Source: RNAcentral
GACGUAGGAUGCAAGCGUUGUCCGGAUUUAUUGGGCGUAAAGAGUUCGUAGGUGGUUCGUUAAGUCUGAUGUUAAAGACUGGGGCUCAACCCUGGAAGUGCAUUGGAUACUGGCGGACUUGAGUGUGGUAGAGGCAAUCGGAAUUCCAGGUGUAGCGGUGAAAUGCGUAGAUAUCAGGAGGAACACCAGCGGCGAAGGCGGCGCUCUGGGCCGGAACUGACGCUGAGGAGCGAAAGCGUGGGGAGCAAACAGG